GAUGAAGAACGUAGCGAAAUGCGAUACGUAAUGUGAAUUGCAGAAUUCAGUGAAUCAUCGAGUCUUUGAACGCACAUUGCGCCCUCUGGUAUUCCGGAGGGCAUGCCUGUCCGAGCGUCAUUGCUGCCCUCAAGCACGGCUUGUGUGUUGGGCUCCGUCCCCCGAUCCCGGGGGACGGGCCCGAAAGGCAGCGGCGGCACCGCGUCCGGUCCUCGAGCGUAUGGGGCUUCGUCACCCGCUCUUGUAGGCCCGGCCGGCGCUUGCCGACACAUCAAUCUUUUUUCCAGGUUGACCUCGGAUCAGGUAGGGAUACCCGCUGAACUUAAGCAUAUCAAUAAGCGGAGGA
RNAcentral lists this unclassified non-coding RNA (346 nucleotides) under soil metagenome. RNAcentral describes it as "partial contains 5.8S ribosomal RNA, internal transcribed spacer 2, and large subunit ribosomal RNA". The stretch from base 1 to 120 matches the Rfam family "5.8S ribosomal RNA", at positions 35 to 154 of the family's 154-position model. The record is from RNAcentral.